UUCACCAAAAACGUGAGCGAAAUUGUCGCAAAAAACGUUGUCGCUUUAAGUCUAUUUAAACGGUUACGGGUUUCAAUCAUAAUAUGCCAUUCUAUUAAGUCACUAAUAUUAAGAUGUGUCGUACAAAUUUGGAAAUUAAAAAACAGGCUAUGAGCAGCCUGGUCUCCAUACACCUUGGGCUUGGAACGAUUGUUGUUGAUGUGUGUUUAAUAUUUACAUUUCAAGAGGCAUAGCAAGCGGAAAACGGUUUGGUUUGUUAUUCGAAGCUAGGAGAUAAAAUUGCAAACGGUUUGUGUUUCAUACCAUUUAACAUAUCAGCAAGUCAAACUACACGUAGAAUGGAAUCGAAGUAACGGCUUCAAAUUUUGGAACCAUGCACCAGCGUUGGAUGCUGGUGUCAUACUUAGCACUCAUACUUAAUUCAUGCAACGGUUUAUAAUGUAAUAAGCUCGCGUGAAGUUUUUCCAGCUUAGUUAGAUUGCGUUUCAACAGCUUCUACCGUGUGAUGUAGCUGUUUCUCCGAGUGUUGACGGUUUCAAAGGAUACCCGCUCGCUGUCGGUUACUAACCAACGCUGGAUGUAUACAGGAGUGCAUUGCCACGAUUACGACGGUGCAGGCCAUUUGACGUGCCGGCUGAUUCUCUGACCGAUCCAGUUUUGACUACCACAUUUGCUCGCUUUGAUGUCACCAUGCUGUUGCAUGCCAUCGCCGAGAUAAGCAUCUACUUGGCUGUGAAUCCACUGGAUUCGAUAUCGCGUAUAAUGAACCCAAUACAUCACCGACGCUGAGCAUUAUAACAUUUACCGUGGCGUGCACCGGAUCCUGUAGAACUACAGGACGCUCCAGGAAAUAAUUCCCAUCCUGACAAUGAAUGAGCUGUUCGUAGUGUUGCACAUAGUGCAUUGUGCUAGCACUUUUCGCACAGUUUGGUCUACGAGAACGGUGCGCUUUUUGUGCUCUUAACGUGCUAUGCGCUUUGAGUUUUUGAGCCCUGUCCGCUCUUUGAGCACUUGAGGUUUGGUCUCCAUUUUUUCCACGUCCACGUAAAACUUUCCGCACAGUCGCGUACUUUAGGGCGCGCUGUGUUGUAAUGCGCGCAUAAUAUGAUGUGCUAUGCGCAUGAUGCGCCGUUUCUAGCGUUUCGAAUUACAGGCGUUUCAGGUCACAGAAGUGUUCACGGGCUAUGCCGGCAAGCUGGUGAACAAAGAGAACAUUAUCAAGGUUUACACCAUGCUCAUGAACGGCAAACUCGACCAACUGACGGAGAUUGCCUUUUGGUCAUGGUCGGUACGAUCGAGAAUUUUGGCAAAACGAAGUAAAGCGUCUGGCCAAGGAACCGGCCUAAGAAUCCGGUCGACUCAAAAAGAUAAAGUAGGCAGUUUUCCAGUAGUUGCGUCGGCGUUCGAAUUCGGUUGGAAAACGAUAAAGCAGAGCUCCUCGGAUGUGAACUCACUUCAGUGGCACCUCCUCAUUCACUGUGCUGUUAGUGUAAUAAUUUUAAUCGAAUCGAUGAUAUUCUUAGCAUACGAGGCGUGUAAUUUGUUAGUUUCUCCAUAGUGCAAAUAUAAAAAGAUGUUUUAUAGAUGGAUGAAAUGGUA
Molecule: long non-coding RNA, 1599 nt
Organism: Anopheles gambiae (African malaria mosquito)
Lineage: Eukaryota; Metazoa; Arthropoda; Insecta; Diptera; Culicidae
Exons: 3
Source: RefSeq, a predicted model, not a curated record